CCCCCUCCACAAGUUCCUGGCAGUGCAAGGCUCCAGCCUUAGCAACACCACUGCAGCUCACAGCUGCCAGCACUAAUGAGUUACAGCAGGCUGUGGUGAGAUCCUGGAGUUAUUUGUAGCUGUGGAACAGGUUUCCCUGUGCAGAGAAGUGCAGGGAAGUUUCUAGGUCUGGCUGGAAGCACCCAGUAAAAGCUGCACGAAUGAAGCCUGUUUUGGUAAUGCUGGUUUUGUACAAUAUGCCUGGAUAGCAACAUUAAUCUUGCACUCAACAGUAAUUUAAUUUUUUUUCAGGGUUUAUUCUAACAGACUCUGAAUAAACUCCUGCAAAACAAUUACUCUAAAA
Molecule: long non-coding RNA, 343 nt
Organism: Passer domesticus (house sparrow)
Lineage: Eukaryota; Metazoa; Chordata; Aves; Passeriformes; Passeridae
Exons: 2
Source: RefSeq, a predicted model, not a curated record